CCAAGGGUGUACACCGCUGUUUUUUUUUCCCCCCGAGCUUUGGAUAUAUGCAGAAUGGACCUUUACACCAAAGGAAAAAACAUUCCAUGAUGACUCACUUCAAAGCUUAGGAGGCCAGGGUUCUUAACCUCUGCCCUGGGGCAGACCCGAUAAAGAUGUCUAAUGAGCAAUAAACCAGGGCCCUGGGGGGGCUGGCUGUGCCAUCACUGGGAUCUUUACUGGUUCUCAUUUACGGCCGGACCAUCACACACUUAACUGUAAAAUUUGCGAGCACAAUUAGAACCGGUGGGUCACAGGGAGAGAUGAGUCUAGGCCCGGCAGGAAAGCUCUGGGAGGCCUGAACGCACUUAGGAGAGGUGGGGAGAAGGAAGCCCCACCCCGGAAAUGACGUUCACAGCGGAGGCAAUUGAACCUCGGAGCUCAACUCUACACAUGCACAGCGCAAGAAUGGUGCCUUCCCAUGAAGUCCUGAGGCUGUCUCUGCAUGGUGCCACCAUGACUUUAACACCUAUUCUACCUGCUAUCCUAAAAGUGAAAAGUUUGAACAGAAAAUGAUGGUACAGGGGUUAUGUGGAAAUGGCAAAAGGGAAAGUGGAAAGAACAUGGCAUUGGAUUCAACAACAGGCAAAUGCAGCUUCUGGUGCUUCCUCUCCAUCUUCCUGCCUGGAACAAAGAUGUGAUGCCUGGAGCCAAGGCAACCAUUUUGGGACCAUGGGCUCACAAGUGAUACUUUAAGUGACAUGAAAAAGACCUUAAUGACAUAGCUGAGCCACUGCACUAACUGAACUAUUCUCCUCUGGAUUUUUGUUGUUGUUACUGUUAUGUGAAAAGUAAUGAUGUACUGUUUAAGCCAUUGUUCAUUAAAGUUUCUGUUACACGAAGGCAAAAGCGUUCCUAACGGACACAGAGAAUUUGGUACAAAUUGGCUAAGCAGACAAAUGUCUUCUAAGUAAACAUAGUGAAUGCAGUCGUGCUUUUGACAAGCCACUUCACCCCUGAAAGCUCGGUUUCUUCACAGGUGAAUUAAGUUCAGUGAUACUUACCUCAAAGGAUUCUGAGGAUUAAAGGAGAUGGUGCGUGUAAAACACCAUCAGUAUACUUGGCACAUACAUAGCAGGUUUCUGCAAAUGCAUGGUAAAUAAUGAGCAAAUAAACAAACAGA
Molecule: long non-coding RNA, 1162 nt
Organism: Bos taurus (domestic cattle)
Lineage: Eukaryota; Metazoa; Chordata; Mammalia; Artiodactyla; Bovidae
Source: Ensembl